RNAcentral lists this long non-coding RNA (706 nucleotides) under Salvia miltiorrhiza (redroot sage). Its description in RNAcentral is "long non-coding RNA (SMIL_LNC009223)". Lineage: Eukaryota; Viridiplantae; Streptophyta; Magnoliopsida; Lamiales; Lamiaceae. The record is from RNAcentral.
AUAAUUUUUAUAAAUGAUAUCCUGUCGAUGCAGGGGUUCUCAAUAAUAAAUUAAAGACAAUUGAAUCUAACAACUAUUCUAUAUUUAUUUUAUUGGAAUAAAUGAUAUCCCAUCGACCUUUUCAGCUCGCAACGGCUCAAACGGCCGGGGGCCUCGUCGCAGUGCCGUCGUGCCUCACUGACGCUCUGCUUUUUUCUGUUGACAAAUCUAAUAUUUGCCUACACCCACAUAUCUCUCUCUCUCUUCCCAGAUCAACCGCCCCUCCUCUGCGUCACUCUGUGCCACUACGCUACACCUCGUCGCCGCCUUGGCUAACAAAAUAGCAAUACUAUUGUAUUUUCCUCUCUCUAUCGAUAAAUUUGCUACCUCCCUUCAAAUACACGUCUCUAUCUCUAUCUCUCUCCCUAGAUCCACCAGCCCCUUCCUCUGCACCGAACCACCACCUCGUCGUCGCCUCGCCACAGCGUCAUGCCGGCUAUCUCUCUCUUUAUCUCAAUUCUGCAACGCUCAAUGCUCGACACGUUGUGUUCGAAUAUCGAGCAAUAGUUUAAAUUGAACUAUUGCCCGACGCUCGACACUUGACACUCGCAAACCACAACAAUUGGCGAUGGCGUAGUGGUAGUCGACUGCCACCUGCCGGUGGCUGUGGUCGUCAAUCGACGAUGGCAUGUGGCGGUUGUUAGUCGCUCACAUGUGGUUGCAGGGC